This 879-nucleotide ribosomal RNA is filed under the name uncultured Lactobacillus sp. RNAcentral describes it as "bacterial SSU rRNA". It matches the Rfam family "Bacterial small subunit ribosomal RNA". Lineage: Bacteria; Bacillati; Bacillota; Bacilli; Lactobacillales; Lactobacillaceae. The record is from RNAcentral.
GACGAACGCUGGCGGCGUGCCUAAUACAUGCAAGUCGAGCGAGCUUGCCUAGAUGAAUUUGGUGCUUGCACCAAAUGAAACUAGAUACAAGCGAGCGGCGGACGGGUGAGUAACACGUGGGUAACCUGCCCAAGAGACUGGGAUAACACCUGGAAACAGAUGCUAAUACCGGAUAACAACACUAGACGCAUGUCUAGAGUUUAAAAGAUGGUUCUGCUAUCACUCUUGGAUGGACCUGCGGUGCAUUAGCUAGUUGGUAAGGUGACGGCUUACCAAGGCAAUGAUGCAUAGCCGAGUUGAGAGACUGAUCGGCCACAUUGGGACUGAGACACGGCCCAAACUCCUACGGGAGGCAGCAGUAGGGAAUCUUCCACAAUGGACGCAAGUCUGAUGGAGCAACGCCGCGUGAGUGAAGAAGGGUUUCGGCUCGUAAAGCUCUGUUGGUAGUGAAGAAAGAUGGAGGUAGUAACUGGCCUUUAUUUGACGGUAAUUACUUAGAAAGUCACGGCUAACUACGUGCCGGCAGCCGCGGUAAUACGUAGGUGGCAAGCGUUGUCCGGAUUUAUUGGGCGUAAAGCGAGUGCAGGCGGUUCAAUAAGUCUGAUGUGAAAGCCUUCGGCUCAACCGGAGAAUUGCAUCAGAAACUGUUGAACUUGAGUGCAGAAGAGGAGAGUGGAACUCCAUGUGUAGCGGUGGAAUGCGUAGAUAUAUGGAAGAACACCAGUGGCGAAAGCGGUUCUCUGGUCUGCAACUGACGUUGAGGCUCGAAAGCAUGGGUAGCGAACAAGAUCAGAUUCCCCUGGUAGUCCAAGGGCGAAUUCCACAGUGGAUAUUAGGCUUAUUGCUCCCGUGACCUCUUUGUGUGGUCUCGGUAACGUU